This 498-nucleotide ribosomal RNA is filed under the name uncultured Nannocystaceae bacterium. RNAcentral's name for it is "bacterial SSU rRNA". It matches the Rfam family "Bacterial small subunit ribosomal RNA", at positions 10 to 507 of the family's 1533-position model. The record is from RNAcentral. Lineage: Bacteria; Pseudomonadati; Myxococcota; Nannocystales; Nannocystaceae.
AGUUUGAUCCUGGCUCAGAGCGACGUUUGCGGCGGGCCUAACACAUGCAAGUCGAACGAGAAUCUCUUCGGAGAGGAAAGUGGCGCACGGGUGCGUAACACGUGGAUAACCAACCCCUGGUUCGGGAUAACAUCGGGAAACUGGUGCUAAUACCGGGUGUGUCUGCGAAGCCAACAGGCUUUGCAGAGAAAGACACGCAAGGGUCGCCAGGGACGGGUUCGCGUCCCAUCAGCUAGUUGGUGAGGUAAUGGCUCACCAAGGCGAAGACGGGUAGCUGGUCUGAGAGGAUGAUCAGCCACACUGGAACUGAGACACGGUCCAGACUCCUACGGGAGGCAGCAGUGGGGAAUAUUGCGCAAUGGGCGAAAGCCUGACGCAGCCACGCCGCGUGAGCGAUGAAGGUCUUAGGAUCGUAAAGCUCUGUGGAGGGAGAAGAAGAAAGCCGGUGAAGAGCCGGCCUUGACGGUAUCCCUUUAGCAAGCACCGGCUAACUCCGUG